RNAcentral lists this ribosomal RNA (119 nucleotides) under Bacillus albus. RNAcentral describes it as "partial 16S ribosomal RNA". It matches the Rfam family "Bacterial small subunit ribosomal RNA", at positions 1 to 113 of the family's 1533-position model. Lineage: Bacteria; Bacillati; Bacillota; Bacilli; Caryophanales; Bacillaceae. The record is from RNAcentral.
UUUAUUGGAGAGUUUGAUCCUGGCUCAGGAUGAACGCUGGCGGCGUGCCUAAUACAUGCAAGUUGAGCGAAUGGAUUAAGAGCUUGCUCUUAUGAAGUUAGCGGCGGACGGGUGAGUAA